This 26-nucleotide ribosomal RNA is filed under the name Fusarium solani. RNAcentral describes it as "partial 18S ribosomal RNA". The record is from RNAcentral. Lineage: Eukaryota; Fungi; Ascomycota; Sordariomycetes; Hypocreales; Nectriaceae.
UUGGUGAACCAGCGGAGGCAUCAUUA